This 253-nucleotide ribosomal RNA is filed under the name uncultured bacterium. Its description in RNAcentral is "partial 16S ribosomal RNA". It matches the Rfam family "Bacterial small subunit ribosomal RNA", at positions 524 to 776 of the family's 1533-position model. The record is from RNAcentral.
UACGUAGGGUGCAAGCGUUGUCCGGAAUUAUUGGGCGUAAAGAGCUCGUAGGCGGUCUGUCGCGUCGUAUGUGAAAACCCGGGGCUCAACCCCGGGCCUGCAUUCGAUACGGGCAGACUAGAGUUCGGUAGGGGAGACUGGAAUUCCUGGUGUAGCGGUGAAAUGCGCAGAUAUCAGGAGGAACACCGGUGGCGAAGGCGGGUCUCUGGGCCGAUACUGACGCUGAGGAGCGAAAGCGUGGGGAGCGAACAGG